AAGGGUGAAAUUAAUAUAAUUUUAGGAUAGAAAGAUUUGUUGUUGAAGCUAAAAAAUUUAAGGUUUAAACUAGGAUUAGAUACCCUAUUAUUCUUAGAUUAAAUUUGUUAUACUGGAAUAUUAUUAAUUAUUUUCUUUAAACUUAAAGAAUUUGGCGGUAAUUAAUCUUAUCAGAGGAAUCUGUUUUAAGUCGAUAACCCACGAAAAAUCUUACUUGAGUUUGUAUACCAUCAUUGUUAGAUAAAUUUUAGAGGAGUUAUUAUUGAAAUUAAUAUGAUUAAGGAAAUUAGAUCAAGGUGCAGCUAAUAAACAAGGAAAAAUGGAUUACAAUAAUAUUUUGUUACUACGGAGUAAUUAUUAUAAAGGGGGAUUUGUUUGUAUAAAAAUUUAAUAUGGUUUUAAGAUAUAAGUUCUUAAUUAUGUACAUAUCGCCCGUCGCUUUC
Molecule: ribosomal RNA, 443 nt
Filed under: Ptychophallus sp. LMT-2014
Lineage: Eukaryota; Metazoa; Arthropoda; Malacostraca; Decapoda; Pseudothelphusidae
Description: partial 12S small subunit ribosomal RNA
Source: RNAcentral